AACGCACGAGACCUGCGGACCUGCGGAGGGAUCAUUUAUGAGAAGCUGCCCCUCGUGGGUAGACCUCCCACCCUCUGUGAACUUACCUUUGUUGCUUUGGCAGGCCCGUCCUCUGGACCGCCGGCUUCGGCUGGCCCGUGCCUGCCAGAGGAUUCCAAACCCUGUCUGUCAGUGUUGUCUGAGUCUAUAUGAAAUCGUUAAAACUUUCAACAACGGAUCUCUAGAUCGGAAGAGCACACG
This 240-nucleotide unclassified non-coding RNA is filed under the name soil metagenome. RNAcentral's name for it is "partial contains 5.8S ribosomal RNA, internal transcribed spacer 2, and large subunit ribosomal RNA". The record is from RNAcentral.